UCCCGUUUGGCUCAGUUGGUAGAGCAUGGUGCUUGUAACACCAGGUUUCUGGGUUUGAUUCCCACGGGGGAC
This 72-nucleotide transfer RNA is filed under the name Salmo salar (Atlantic salmon). It matches the Rfam family "tRNA". From Rfam's summary of the family: Transfer RNA (tRNA) molecules are approximately 80 nucleotides in length. The record is from Rfam by way of RNAcentral. Lineage: Eukaryota; Metazoa; Chordata; Actinopteri; Salmoniformes; Salmonidae. RNAcentral also lists the same sequence under 1 other name.